Molecule: ribosomal RNA, 468 nt
Filed under: uncultured bacterium
Lineage: Bacteria
Description: partial 16S ribosomal RNA
Rfam family: Bacterial small subunit ribosomal RNA
Source: RNAcentral
GACGAACGCUGGCGGCGUGCUUAACACAUGCAAGUCGAACGGAAAGGCCCUGCUUUUGUGGGGUGCUCGAGUGGCGAACGGGUGAGUAACACGUGAGUAACCUGCCCUUGACUUUGGGAUAACUUCAGGAAACUGGGGCUAAUACCGGAUAGGAGAUCCUGCUGCAUGGUGGGGGUUGGAAAGUUUCGGCGGUUGGGGCUGGACUCGCGGCUUAUCCGCUUGUUGGUGGGGUAGGGGCUUACCAAGGCUUUGACGGGUAGCCGGCCUGAGAGGGUGACCGGCCUCAUUGGGACUGCGAUACGGCCCAGACUGCUACGGGAGGCAGCGGUGGGGAAUAUUACACAGUGGGCGGACGCCUGAUGCAGCAACGUCGCGUGCGGGAUGACGUCCUUCGGGUUGUAAACCGCUUUCGCCUGUGACGAAGCGUGAGUGACGGUAAUGGGUAAAGAAGCACCGGCUAACUACGUG